RNAcentral lists this ribosomal RNA (442 nucleotides) under uncultured bacterium. Its description in RNAcentral is "partial 16S ribosomal RNA". It matches the Rfam family "Bacterial small subunit ribosomal RNA", at positions 338 to 795 of the family's 1533-position model. The record is from RNAcentral.
CCUACGGGAGGCAGCAGUGGGGAAUAUUGGGCAAUGGACGCAAGUCUGACCCAGCAACGCCGCGUGAAGGAAGAAGUCUUUCGGGUUGUAAACUUCUUUUAAGGGGGAAGAGCAGAAGACGGUACCCCUUGAAUAAGCCACGGCUAAAGACGUGCCAGCAGCCGCGGUAAUACGUAGGGGGCAAGCGUUGUCCGGAUUUACUGGGUGUAAAGGGCGUGCAGGCGGAGACAGAAGUCAGGUGUGAAAUCCACGGGCUCAACCCGUGAACUGCAUUUGAAACUGUUUCGCUUGAGUGUCGGAGAGGUAAGCGGAAUGCCUGGUGUAGCGGUGAAAUGCGUAGAUAUUAGGAAGAACACCAGUGGCGAAGGCGGAUUACUGGACUAUAACUGACGGUGAGGCGCGAAAGCGUGGGGAGCAAACAGGAUUAGAUACCCGAGUAGUC